UUGAUUUCAUUAUUAUCAAUUAUAGUUUUGAGUCGAAGCAUCAAUUCAGAUACUGAGGGGGUACCUUCCAGCCUUGAAUAAUGAAAAUUUCUAAUUAAAACACUUGUAUGCAGAUUUUGUCUCCUUAAUCCUAUAAAUGAAAAUAUUGUGUACAUCUUACCUUCCCACUAUAGUCAUCCUGUUCUCUUUCAAAACAAUUAGAGCGAGGAAUGGAUAAGUACCGGACUUCAGUGCUUCGGCUACUUUGUAACCUUCGCCAGAUUUUAUAUUACAAGCCCAGAAUAGUGUGUGAGUGUUGAUAAAACGAAUUAGCUCUGUAUUAGUCAAAGAAAUCCUAUUGAAAUUGAGUGAGUGAAAAAACAAUGACAUGACAUUAAUAAGUAUUCAACAACAGUGAAAAUGUCAUACCUUUUUAUUUAUUUAUUUAUUUUUUAAAUUGCAUACCUGCACCAUUGAUCGACACUCUGGACAUCAUCUUUGUGGAGAUAAACGAGUAGGAAUCUCAACUCUUGUUUAGCAUCAGAAAGUGCUUGACUGUACGAUCCCUGAUAGAAUACUGGAUGAUUCAUACCGUAUCUCUCUUCAAAUGAACUUAUAAAUCUUACUACAUCUUGGACAGGAUCAGCAGAUACUAUUAUUAUAAGAGCUUCCUGAUGGGCUGAAAUAAAUUCUCGAAUUGGUAUCGUCGACAACAGCUGGUGGCCUCGCUCUCGAGUCUUGUGCAUACAUCGAUGGUCUGCCUUCAUACAAAUUGAGUUGCUCCUACGUACAAGGUACAACAAAAAAUUACACGAAAAAACUUGAGUUCGUAGAUGAUGCAUGAAAAGCAUGAAAAGAAUGAAAAUUGUAAAAAUUUCAUACCUGAACUGCAACCUCCAAGUUCCAAUUGUGCCUCUGCAGAACAUCACGACAAAUUGAGAGAUCUUCAAUUCCCGUCAAAUCCUUGAUGAAAAUUAAUAAAUGAGUAUGCAUAUUUAAGGAUAAAAAGUUGGAAAACAAUUUCGUGGUCUACCUGAAAUUGAAGAACUUUUUCCGUUUGAUCACUGUUGAGUUCACCGAGUGCAUUAUCAGCCAUUUUACUGUUUUUUUUUUUCAAGCGUAUUAUAAUAUUAAUUUGAACAAUAAAAAAGACGAUUUAUACCCGACACAUAUA
This is a long non-coding RNA of Diachasma alloeum, 1153 nucleotides long. RefSeq lists it as uncharacterized. The record is from RefSeq and is a predicted model, not a curated record. NCBI's taxonomy places the organism in Eukaryota, Metazoa, Arthropoda, Insecta, Hymenoptera, Braconidae. The transcript is spliced from 3 exons.